AGUGAACGCUGGCGGUAGGCCUAACACAUGCAAGUCGAACGGCGGCACAGUAAGAGCUUGCUCUUACGGGUGGCGAGUGGCGGACGGGUGAGGAAUACAUCGGAAUCUACUUUUUCGUGGGGGAUAACGUAGGGAAACUUACGCUAAUACCGCAUACGACCUACGGGUGAAAGCAGGGGAUCUUCGGACCUUGCGCGAUUGAAUGAGCCGAUGUCGGAUUAGCUAGUUGGCGGGGUAAAGGCCCACCAAGGCGACGAUCCGUAGCUGGUCUGAGAGGAUGAUCAGCCACACUGGAACUGAGACACGAUCCAGACUCCUACGGGAGGCAGCAGUGGGGAAUAUUGGACAAUGGGCGCAAGCCUGAUCCAGCCAUACCGCGUGGGUGAAGAAGGCCUUCGGGUUGUAAAGCCCUUUUGUUGGGAAAGAAAAGCAGCAGGUUAAUACCCCGCUGUUCUGACGGUACCCAAAGAAUAAGCACCGGCUAACUUCGUG
RNAcentral lists this ribosomal RNA (492 nucleotides) under uncultured bacterium. RNAcentral's name for it is "partial 16S ribosomal RNA". It matches the Rfam family "Bacterial small subunit ribosomal RNA", at positions 29 to 507 of the family's 1533-position model. The record is from RNAcentral.